UACGUAGGGCGCAAGCGUUGUCCGGAAUUAUUGGGCGUAAAGAGCUCGUAGGCGGCCUGUCGCGUCUGCUGUGAAAUCCCGGGGCUUAACCCCGGGCGUGCAGUGGAUACGGGCUGGCUGGAGGCAGGCAGGGGAGAAUGGAAUUCCCGGUGUAGCGGUGAAAUGCGCAGAUAUCGGGAGGAACACCGGUGGCGAAGGCGGUUCUCUGGGCCUGUUCUGACGCUGAGGAGCGAAAGCGUGGGAGC
Molecule: ribosomal RNA, 245 nt
Filed under: uncultured bacterium
Lineage: Bacteria
Description: partial 16S ribosomal RNA
Rfam family: Bacterial small subunit ribosomal RNA
Source: RNAcentral